GACGAACGCUGGCGGCGUGCUUAACACAUGCAAGUCGAACGGUGAAGCGCCUUCCUUUUUGGUGGGUGUGGAUGAGUGGCGAACGGGUGAGUAACACGUGAGUAACCUGCCCCCUUCUUCUGGAUAACCGCAUGAAAGUGUGGCUAAUACGGGAUAUUCUGGGUCUGUCGCAUGAUGGGUCUGGGAAAGAUAUUGUUUCGGUGGGGGAUGGGCUCGCGGCCUAUCAGCUUGUUGGUGGGGAGAUGGCCUACCAAGGCGGUGACGGGUAGCCGGCCUGAGAGGGUGGACGGUCACACUGGGACUGAGACACGGCCCAGACUCCUACGGGAGGCAGCAGUGGGGAAUAUUGCACAAUGGGCGCAAGCCUGAUGCAGCGACGCCGCGUGAGGGAUGGAGGCCUUCGGGUUGUGAACCUCUUUCGCCAGUGAAGCAGGCCUGCCUCGUUUGUGGGUGGGUUGACGGUAGCUGGAUAAGAAGCGCCGGCUAACUACGUG
Molecule: ribosomal RNA, 494 nt
Filed under: uncultured bacterium
Lineage: Bacteria
Description: partial 16S ribosomal RNA
Rfam family: Bacterial small subunit ribosomal RNA
Source: RNAcentral